UAAACAUUGAGUUCUACUAAAAACCCAAUUUAACCAGUAACUGCAAUUAACUUAAAAUUUUUUUUUACCAAGUUGGUUUCUUGUAGAGCCUUCAUGAAAUGAUGUUUGAUCAAAUAUUUAAGCUUCAUGCACGGAGAUACCUCAUAAACUGGCACACGCUAACUCUAGCUCGUGUCUACAGGUUCCAUUACAACACAAGACAAACCCUUUUACUGACCAUUGUUUCCUCCUGCCUCACACCACUAGUUUUAUGAAACACUGUCAUGUAUCCAUGCUAUUUUUGAGGGAGCAGCUGGCCUCAUUCUUUUUUCAUGGCACACCAUCACCACGGCAGAUAACCAUCCGGCUGCCAUGUGAAGUGUGAGAUAAAUGUGAAGUUUGGCUCACACCGCUGACUUGUCCAGAAGAGCAGAGGGGAAGAAAGAGACUUGCAGCGAUGUAGUCUGAAUAGUUCACUGCAGCUGUAUAAUUGGCUGAAAUGAGGGAUGAGGGCCACCUGCUGACUGUUUCAUUUAGAGCUGCUUUACAUGGAAAUGUUCAGUGUUGCUUGAGAAGCACAGAAAGAGGCAAAGAAGAAGUGUGAGCAACACAAUUAGCAAUACCCUCACCUCUGACUGAUUUACAAGAUAACUUUCUCACUGCCUACACUCUUAUCACCAUUAAUACAUUUAAAUGAAAGGUUUAAGAUAGUAACUCAUGUGAGGAUUAUUAUGCCUCUAUGGACCUCUUCCAAAAAAAUAGUAUAUCAUGGAAAAGUGUUUUCAAUUCUAUAAUUUCAUUUUUAAGUUAAACUUUCAUAGAAUUUAGUUCCGGGGCCAACUACUUCAUUGAUUUCACAUGUUUGUUUACUUUUACAUAAAUUGGGAACAUAAAACAGGACUUUAGCAAAUUAGAAUACUGUGGAGAAAUCACCAUUUACUUAUGAGUUCUUGUAAAAAAAAAAAAAAAAAA
This is a non-coding RNA of Oryzias latipes (Japanese medaka), 951 nucleotides long. The record is from RefSeq and is a predicted model, not a curated record. Lineage: Eukaryota; Metazoa; Chordata; Actinopteri; Beloniformes; Adrianichthyidae.